Molecule: ribosomal RNA, 432 nt
Filed under: uncultured bacterium
Lineage: Bacteria
Description: partial 16S ribosomal RNA
Rfam family: Bacterial small subunit ribosomal RNA
Source: RNAcentral
AACGAACGCUGGCGGCAUGCCUAACACAUGCAAGUCGAACGAGACCUUCGGGUCUAGUGGCGCACGGGUGCGUAACGCGUGGGAACCUGCCCUUAGGUUCGGAAUAACUCCCCGAAAGGGGUGCUAAUACCGGAUAAUGUCUUCGGACCAAAGAUUUAUCGCCUUUGGAUGGGCCCGCGUUGGAUUAGCUAGUUGGUAGGGUAAAAGCCUACUAAGGCGACGAUCCAUAGCUGGUCUGAGAGGAUGAUCAGCCACACUGGGACUGAGACACGGCCCAGACUCCUACGGGAGGCAGCAGUGGGGAAUAUUGGACAAUGGGCGAAAGCCUGAUCCAGCAAUGCCGCGUGAGUGAUGAAGGCCUUAGGGUUGUAAAGCUCUUUUACCCGGGAUGAUAAUGACAGUACCGGGAGAAUAAGCUCCGGCUAACUCCGU